This 52-nucleotide microRNA precursor is filed under the name Equus asinus (donkey). RNAcentral describes it as "mir-1302 microRNA precursor family". It matches the Rfam family "mir-1302 microRNA precursor family". Lineage: Eukaryota; Metazoa; Chordata; Mammalia; Perissodactyla; Equidae. The record is from Rfam by way of RNAcentral. RNAcentral also lists the same sequence under 1 other name.
UUUUUAGUAUAAGUAUGUUCCAUGUGUUAUUUGGGAUAUACUUACAUUAAAA